This 8158-nucleotide long non-coding RNA is filed under the name Gossypium barbadense (sea-island cotton). RNAcentral describes it as "long non-coding RNA (GBAR_LNC020258)". The record is from RNAcentral. Lineage: Eukaryota; Viridiplantae; Streptophyta; Magnoliopsida; Malvales; Malvaceae.
GGGGGUUGUAUUCAAGGCUUCGUUUAUUUUAGCCAGUGCUUCCUUUGCUUCUUCUUUAGAAUAAACAAUUCUAGAGCUUGAAAGCUCGGACUCUAAGCUAGUGAAGAAUGUGUUCAUGUCUUCCUCAGCAGACUCUUCAGGUUCAAUGGCCUGAAAUGGUGGAAAAGAAAAGCAAUAAUAAGAUAUAUAUAUAUACGCAUUAAUAUUAACUGAUUUAGGUAACGUACCACAGUCUGGCUAGAAGACUGAGUUGGUGAAGGAGGUGUGAUUUCUACUGGUUUGGUUGUAGGAGUUUUCUGGUUGUCUAUGACUGCCUUAACACAAUCAGCUUCCUUGGCCUUAAGUUCAUCCCAAUCAGUUUUGACUAUAAAUUCAUGGGAAAUAAAAUCUAGAGUCUUAUCAGUGCAAACGUAUACUUCAACCAAGCAUGCAUCAUUAAGGAGAUAGCCUCUUUUAGGGUCGUGUAAUUCAGUAAGACGUAAGAAUGAAGUGAAGCCCCAAUCAGCCUGCCUCGCGUUGAAACAAUGGUGAGUGACUGCCAAAAACAACAGUGCCUUAUCAUCAACAACCAGUUCAGUACAGAAGCUGACAGACUCUACGAAGAAAGGAUGGCAUAGAUAAAAUAUUUGGCAUCUGGACUUCAACAGUUUUGACCAUACCAACGCCUCAAACAAGCUGAGCUUUAGGUAAUAUGAAUUCAAAGCUUCCUUUAUAAACCCCGAAACUUCUUCGUAGUGGCUCUUCCAUGCUUCAUUACAUUAUAUAUUGUCAUUUGGUUCUAGUCUAUCAUUUCUAUUUCUAUGUAUGCUUGUACGUGGAAAGCUCAAGCAUUCCCCAAUGAGACAGAGCCCCAGUUGAACAUACAAAAUAAAUGCAAAACAGAACAAGAGGAAGCAAUAGCCAUUGUUUUCCUAAAGCUUUGACAAAUGACAAGUAACCGAGUAAUAACAAAAAGAGUCGAAUUACACAACUGGUUCACGCAGUCACUCUUAAGAGCUAGCAUUCAGCAUAUCAGUGACCCUUCCCUUAUUCCUAUAUUAUGGCUAUCUUAUAUAGCCUCUUUAAACCCAUUAAAUAAGAACAAGAAUAAAAUGCUGAUCCCUUGUUUGUACUACGAAAUUGUGAUUGCUACAACAAAUAACAAUAUACCUUUUGUACUAGAAGUUUCACGAUCCAAUUGAUCGAUGACUCCGAAUCCGACUUGGGCAUAUUUACUCCAUCCGUAAGGCAGAGUAGCUGAAUCUGCUACAUCUAAAUAAAUUGACAAAUGAUCCACAUUGUUCCCCUUGGGGAAGAUAAGAACUCGCCUGCCAAAUAAGUUUGUAAAUCUGAGUCAUAGGGAGAUGAAAACUGGAAAUAAAAACAUAAAGCAACAACAAGAAGAAAAAGAUCAAAGUUACCAUUUGUAGCUAUCAAAUGUAAAAACUUCAGAGUAGAGCUUUUUGUCUACAAGACUGGAGAAAUUCUGAAUCCUCCAUGUGAACUUCUUUAUUUUUACAUCAAUAUCCAUAUAUUGAAACUUACUAUCCACUGCACUCAAAAUCUUAAACAUUACAAAACAUACAUAAUAAUAGAAGAAAGGAUUAUAAGUAGAAGCUAUACCUGCCAUUACGAGAGAAUGUGGUGCUACCUGCAGUGCAGAAAAGUGGAGGGGAUGAAGAUUCAAGGUUCCUUAGAGUUCCAAGUUUGUUUAAAUAUUGACAAGUCCUCUUCUUUUGUCAAAAGUUAGUUGACUUAAACUACUUAGGCUUUAAGCUAUCCUUUAUUAUUUUCUUUCACUGUUUAUAAAAAUUAAUAGAAAGUUAUGUAAAUAAUUUUUAUAUUUAUUUAAAAAAUAAAAAAUGAUGGCAAUUCUAUUAGUUGGGUCACUCAAGUAUUAAUGUAUUUCUAUUUUGGUCAUCUAAUUUCAAACAUUUUCAAUUCUAUCACCAAAAUUAUCAAUGUUGAUUUUUUUUUUUGCUUAUAUGUCAAAAAAGCCCUUAAGAAAAUGCAAACAAACAAAAUCAAUUAAGCCCCUAUAUUAAAUUCACACUCAACUAACCUCCUAUCGUUAACUAAAAUAAUCAAUUAAGCCCUUCCAGUAACAAUUUCCGUCAUUGACUACGUUGACUAUUAAAAUAAAUUGAUGGACCAAUUAAAUAGUGACAUGUGGCAACUUUUGGUUUAAUAUAAUAUUUUCCCUUAAAAAUCAUAAAAAAUAAAAAAUUAUAAAAAGAUAUUAAAAUUUAUAUAAACUUAUAAAUAUUAUAAAAAUAUAAAAAAUUAAUGAAACCUAUUUAAAAUAAAAUAUAUAUUAGAAUUCUUUAAAAAAAUAUUAAAAUUAUUAAAAUUGUAUAGACUUAUAAAAAUUAUAAAACAAUCAUAGAAACUUGAAUUGUACCAAUUAGCCCAAAGUCUCAAGUUUACCAAUUCGAAAAAAGUCAUUAGAUUGGUUGACUUGGGAACUGGACGAUUGAAUCGAUUUUUUUUUAUUUUUUAAUAAUUUUUAUCAAAAAAAAAUUUAUUAUCCAACUAUUAGCAUAUACCAUAAUGAAAUAUCCUGACCAAGGUUUCCAUAAUUGAACAGCUGGUCGAGUCGUUCAAGCCAUUGAUUUUACAGUUAGACUAAUUCAUCCAAUUCAAUUAAAUAAAACAUUAAAAAUAAAAAAAUAUAUUAAAAAUUUGAUUCAACCAUCCGGUUUCCAGGUCAACCGAUCUAAUGACUUUCUCCAAAUUGAUACCCUUAUCGAUUUCGGUCUAAUCGGUCAAACAAAUUGAUCCAAUCCAAUUUAAGUUUUUAUGAUUUUUUUUAUAAUUUUUAUAAGUUUAAAAUCGGACCUUGUUAAAUUAAAAAUAGAUAGGGCAUUUUUAAAAGACCUUGGAAAAUUAAAAACAAUUCGAAUUGACUCAAAACCUAUUAGGCUUAAAACAAAUUUAGACUCUUAAUUUGGGCUAAUUUUAAAUUUUAUUUAGAUUUUUUAAAAAUUAAUUUGGCUCUAAAAAAUCAAUUUGAGUUUCUAAAACAAAUCAAAUUGGACUUCUUUAAAAACAGAUUUGACAACAAAAUUUUCAAAACAAAAUCCAAAUAAAUUUAGGUUUUGAGUAGCAAAUUUAAAGAACAUCAGAUUGGGUUUUGAAAAACAAUAAAAUUGGGCCUUAGCCUUAAUAUCAAACCCAAAAGGAUCUGAAAACCCAAAAGAUUUUUACUUAAAAUUCAUUUGAUUUUUGGGUAAACCACACAAAUGGUCACCCAACUAUGCACGUGUUCUUGUUCUGGUCACUGAACUUUAAAAAAUUUUAAUUUAAACACUGAUAUUUGAAUUCGUUCCUGUUUUGAUCAGCCACCAUUAAAUUGGUAACGGUAUAAUAACACAUUUAGUCCUCAAUACUUACAUAUUCUAGCAUUUUGAUCUUAAUUAUAAAUAAUUCAAUAAAUUUAACCCUUCACGUUUACAAAUUGUAUCAAUUUGAUUAUCAAACUUACUAAUCAAAGUUUUCAACUUUUAUAAAUGUGAACCCUAAAAAAGAAAAAAAACUUCUCUCAACUAAUGAGUCGUUUUCCGAGCUAAUUCUUGAUACCAAUAAGUUUCUCUUGAAAAAAAUUUAUAGUGUUAGUAUUUUAUAGUGUUGGUGCCGGAAUAAUUUUUGUUAUUGUUUGCGAUAAUAUAAAUUUUUUUGGCCCUUAAACUCGGCUAUUAGGUUCAAUUUUGAGAUUAUAUCACAUUAUUGCUUGAAAAUUAAUACAUAUAAUUCUAGGUGAUAAUAUGGUAUAACCUUAGAGAGUCGCACAUAGAUUUUAAUAAUCGAGCCAAUAAUUCAAUUAGUCAAACUUUUGGUUCUUGAUUCAAUUGGUUUGUUCAGUUUAGUUGCUAGACCAAUAAUUACUAAUGCGACAUUAAACUAUCGGAAAUGGAUAAUAUCCCUGUUUUAUAAAAUCCUUUCUCUAUUGUGGAAUUCAAAUUUUAGUUUUUAAACAAAUCCCAACAUUAAUGUUAUAAAAUAAAAGAAAUUUAGCUAGAAAUAUAAAGAAAUAAAAGAAUGCUAUAAAAGACCAUAAUUGAGAAUGUUGACCUUAUUUUUUUAUUAAAAACGGGGUCGACUUGGGUUUUGAAAAAAAGAAACAGGAGUCGCCACCAAUCCUUUUUUUUUAUAAGGUGUGAUUGGAUCACCUCGAAAAUGAGUUGUUUUUAAUAAACGGUUUGAUUUUAUUAAAACAACAAGUUUGGUCCACGAAAUUCAGAAAAACGGGUUCGGGAGUCAGUUACGCACGAGGAAGGAUUAGCACCCUCGAUACGCCCAAAAUUGGUACCUAGUUGAUUACUUAAUGUCUUAAUGUCGAAAAUUGAAAACCUUGAAGAAUUUUAAAAAUACGAUCCUUGUAUUAAAAUGUUAAAAAUUUUCAGGAAAAGGGCAUGUUUCACGUUAUUCGAGAAAGAGAAUUAUAUCCAGUAAGUUAUGACACAAUAUCUCGAAUUCCCGAUACGUGAAUGAAAAUGCUUGUUCAAAAGAUAUUUAACUAUCUUGGAUUAAAAAAGAGAUCGCGGCCAGUAAGUUAGGACACGAUCCUUUUUUAAUUCCCGAUAUCGUUUAAAACUUGAGUUUGAAAAUAUUCACGUAAUAAAAUUUAAAAGAAUAUUCAGUUGUUUAAAUCAAAUGAAGAAAUCUCAACCCAAUUCGUUAGGACACAAUUUCUCAAAAUAUCAAACAUUGAAUAUUGCAUUUAUUUUUUAAAAAAAAUCUUCAUCUUAAGAAAUCAACGUGUCACAUCCAAUGCAUUAGGACACGACGUAUUGAAUUCUCGAUGAUGAGCUUUUUAUUUAUGUUUUUUAUAAAAGAGUAAUUUCGAUUAUUUUGAUUCAACAAAGAAAAUCGGAACCCAAUACGUUAGGGCUCAAUUCUCUCGAAGAUCUCAAAUAUCGAGUGUUAUUUUUAUUUUGAAAUUUUCCGUUUUUGGAUAAAUCUGAGUAAAGAAAAAUGAAUGUAAAAUAAUAAUAAUGAUGAUAAUGCAAAUAAAAUAAUACAAGCAAAAUAAGAAAAGAUAAAUAAAUAAGAUGACAAAUAUAAUAAAAAGAAAUCAACAAAUAAAAGUAAAUAAACAAAUAAAAUUAAAGCACUUUAAGUAAAUAAUAAUAAUGAGCAUGUAAAUAAAUAAAUAAAUUAACACCAAAUGAAACAAUAGUAAUGAAUAAAAUUAUGAUAUAUAUAUGCAUGUAUGUAUGUUAGAAUUAUAAAGUAUAUAUAAUAUAUAUAAUAUAUUUUAAAAUAUAAAGAAUAUAUAAAUAUAUAUAUAAAAUAUGUACAUAUGCGUAGGUAUAUAGAAAUUAUAGAAUAUGAAAAUAAUGAAAUACAUGUAAAAAAGGGUAGGUAUAUAUGUACAAAAAUGUAUGUAAGUAUACUUAUUUUUUUUAAGAUUAUAAAGUAAAUGCAAAAAAGAAUAUAUGUAUGUAUAUCUAAACUAUCAUAUAAUAAUAAUAUGAUGAAUAAAAAUGAUAUAAAUAAUAAUAGAAAUAAUAAUCAUAAUAAUAAAAGAUAAUAACAUUAAAAUAAUGAAGAAAAAAUAAUAAUAAUAAUAAAAGUGUUAAAAAAGGACUAAAUCGAAGUAAAAACAAAGAUACUGGGCGAAUUUAAACAUGGAAAAUACAAAGGGGACUCAUUUAUAAUGCGCGCGAAGCCCAGGGGAUCGAUUUGGAAAAUAUCCCGAGCCCUACACGCAGCGUUUUGACACGGGCUGAAAUGAAACACAUGAGAAAUUAUGCGACCGAAUUUACAAAACAAAACAGGACUAAAUUGCACCAGAGCGCUAAGGAGGAGGGGCCUCGCGCGCAAAUAUCCUCUCCAGCGAAAACACGCGGACCCUCCGGGUCGGAUCGAGUCGACGGGCGGAUCUGGGGGCAAAACGGCGUCGUUUUAACGCCUGGGGCUAUGGCGCAAAACGGCGCCGUUUUGAGUGCUUAUAAAAUCAAAAAAAAAAAUUAACUUCAUUUUCUGCUCUUUCAAAGAAAAAAACAAAUUCUCUUAAAAAAUCCUCUCUCCUUCCAGUCCAUAGCCCAGAAUCCGGCGAGAAGAACCGCCGUCGACGCCGUCGUGCCGGCCACCGUGUAAAUUCAAAGGUAAUUUUUUUUUCUUUUUUUUAUAUGUUAUAUAUAUAUACAGUUUUUAAAAAAUAAAAGAAACAAAAUCAAACACAAAUAGUUCGAAAGAAAAAAAAAUAAAGAGAAAAAAAUAAAAAUAGAAAAGGAAAAUAGAUAUAUUGAAAAAUGGGUUAUUGAAUCUGUUUUUUUUUUGCUUUUUUAUUUCUUUAAAUCGUGAAAAAGGGGGCAGCCCCAUUACAGAUCUUUGAAUGACUUUAUAGCCAUUUUUACAAUAUUUUUUAUUUAUUACUUGUGAUUUCUUUCUCUAGUUUUGCAGGCAAGUGGCGAUGGGACGUGCGGCGGCAGAAGCUGCGGUGGCAGGGCAAGUGGGCGACAUGACCGUGGCGGCUGGUCAGCAGAUGCGGCGCUAGGGUUUCUUUUCUGAAACCCUAGUUUGACUUUGGGGGAUUGGGCCGGUUGUGUAGUUGGGCUAGGUUAUUGGGCUAAAUUAGGCUACUGUUUUGUUUGGGUUAUGUUGUGUAGGUUUUGGGUAUUGGGUUUGUAAUUGGUUUUUGGGCUGGGAAAAUAUUGGGCUGUACAGAGAACAUAAUUCUACUUUAUGUGUUCUCAUUCACUUGAAUCAACUAUGUGUUGGGGUAAAAAAACAAUGAUAAACUUUACAAAAUUAAAGAUAAAUAAAGAGAUAAAUUAAUACAUAAAGAUAAAUAAAUGAUUUAUCUUAGAUAAAUAGAAGUAAUUUAUCUCCUAUUAUAUGUAUAUCCACAAUAAUUUAUUAUUUAUAAAUAUUAAAUAUUAAAUUAAAAAUAAUGUAAAUAUAUAUUUUUAUCUUGAUAGAAAGAAAUAAUUUAUCUCCAUGGAUAAUUACAAUAAUUUAUUAUUUAUAACAAUUAAAUGUUAAAUUAAAAAUAAUAAUAUGACGGACUUCAAAUAAAUAAAUUUGGGUUAAUUGUUUAUCAUAUUUUAGUCAAAUUGACCCCAGUAUAAACAUUAAAUUAUGCAUACAUUACUAUAAUAAAUAGUGAAUUGUGGCCCAUAUAAUUUUAACUUGAUUAGUAUUGACAUUCUUACUAGUGCAGGAGAAUGUCGAUUUAAAUGCGCUGAAAUAUAUUUUCGUCCUAUUUAAAGUUUGAGAUAAGCUAUAGAUAGUUCCAUAUAUUAUAUAUAUAUAUAUAUAUAUAAAAACUUAUAUCAUAAAAAAUUAUAAUAAGAUUAAUGUUCCCAAAAAAAAACCAAAUAAAUAAUUUAAGCAUGCCAAUAAGAAGAAUACCAUAUUCCAUAUAUACCUCCUACAUAUCAUUUAUAUAAAAUUUAUAUAAUAUAAAGUCUUGUUCAAAACACCAAUACUUAAAUCUUAGCUUCAAUGGAAGAGAUGAAAUCUUUGAUUCUUCCCCAUUCAGCCUCAACACUCUUCUCUUCUUCCUCACCAACCUUGGCAGUGGCCUCACACUCUGCCAAUUCCUUUCCCAAUGCAUCCAACUCCAUUUUCAUUUCCUUGCAACUUCUGUAUAUCCCCUUUCGUUCAGCCAACAUCUUCUCCUUUCUCUUUUGUGCUUCUUCAACUUCCUCACGGAGGGCAGCAAGUGUUUGAUCCACCUGUUUCACCUCUGUUUCGACCUCCUUAUAUCUGAUUAGGCUACUCUCCAAAUUACAAGUCAUCGUCCGCUUGAUAGAUUCCUUGGCGGUAAGUUGAUCCUUGUCCUGCACUGCUUUCGCUGCUCGGUUAGCUAGUUCUUUCAAUCUUUCGUCCAAGCCCAACAACUCAUUCUUUUGAUCAAUUGUAAGGGUGGUGGAGGAACCAUCAAAACUAGCUAGGAUCAUGAAUGCCUGCUUAAGUGGAGAAAACUUCCCUGAAUCGUUAAGAUUAACGGGGGUUGUAUUCAAGGCUUCGUUUAUUUUAGCCAGUGCUUCCUUUGCUUCUUCUUUAGAAUAAACAAUUCUAGAGCUUGAAAGCUCGGACUCUAAGCUAGUGAAGAAUGUGUUCAUGUCUUCCUCAGCAGACUCUUCAGGUUCAAUGGCCUGAAAUGGUGGAAAAGAAAAGCAAUAAUAAGAUAUAUAUAUAUAUACGCAUUAAUAUUAACUGAUUUAGG